Molecule: ribosomal RNA, 206 nt
Filed under: uncultured bacterium
Lineage: Bacteria
Description: partial 16S ribosomal RNA
Rfam family: Bacterial small subunit ribosomal RNA
Source: RNAcentral
UGCGUAGGCGGCCUGGUAAGUCUGGCGUGAAAGCCCAGGGCUCAGCCCUGGAAGUGCGCUAGAAACUGCGAGGCUCGAGUGCCGGAGGGGAGAGUGGAAUUCCUGGUGUAGCGGUGAAAUGCGUAGAUAUCAGGAGGAAUACCGGUGGCGAAAGCGACUCUCUGGACGGCAACUGACGCUGAGGCACGAAAGCGUGGGAGCAAACA